GCCCCUGUGGCGGAACUGGUAGACGCGGCAGACUCAAAAUCUGUUGAUCUUACGAUCGUGCUGGUUCGAUUCCGGCCAGGGGCACCA
Molecule: transfer RNA, 87 nt
Filed under: Acetobacter sp.
Lineage: Bacteria; Pseudomonadati; Pseudomonadota; Alphaproteobacteria; Acetobacterales; Acetobacteraceae
Also listed under: 1 other name
Description: tRNA-Leu
Rfam family: tRNA
About the family: Transfer RNA (tRNA) molecules are approximately 80 nucleotides in length.
Source: RNAcentral